CAGCUCUGUGUGUGUAGGUGGACAGGGAAUGGGCAGCUCUGUGUGUGUGUAGGUGGACAGGGAAUGGGCAGCUCUGUGUGUAGGUGGACAGGGAAUGGGGAGCUCUGUGUGUGUAGGUGGACAGGGAAUGGGGAGCUCUGUGUCUCUGUGUGUGUAGGUGGACAGGGAAUGGGGAGCUCUGUGUGUGUGUAGGUGGACAGGGAAUGGGGAGCUCUGUGUAGGUGGACAGGGAAUGGGGAGCUCUGUGUGUGUGUAGGUGGACAGGGAAUGGGGAGCUCUGUGUGUGUGUGUGUGUGUGUGUGUGUGUGUGUAGGUGGACAGGGAAUGGGGUGCUCUGUGUGUGUGUAGGUGG
Long non-coding RNA from Oncorhynchus tshawytscha (Chinook salmon), 352 nucleotides. NCBI's taxonomy places the organism in Eukaryota, Metazoa, Chordata, Actinopteri, Salmoniformes, Salmonidae. The record is from Ensembl.